CCCCUUGGUAUUCCGGGGGGCAUGCCUGUUCGAGCGUCAUUU
RNAcentral lists this ribosomal RNA (42 nucleotides) under Rutstroemia sydowiana. RNAcentral's name for it is "partial 5.8S ribosomal RNA". Lineage: Eukaryota; Fungi; Ascomycota; Leotiomycetes; Helotiales; Rutstroemiaceae. The record is from RNAcentral. RNAcentral also lists the same sequence under 1 other name.